CAGCCUCUUGCUGGCCUCGGAGGAAGGAUCUAAGCGGGGCGUUCUCAGAGAGCCGCGCAGGUGUUCACCACACACUGGAGAGGGGGCCGAGAGAAGACUCACCUGUGACCCAUGCCAGACUAUCUUCUGAGCCGAUCAUGGAGAACUACGGGCAGAUGGUGCCCCCUAGUGGACAAACUCCCUCUCCACAAGCACUGAGGAAAGGACACUUGCCAGCGGCCCAGCCUCGCAGCCACCCAGACCACCAUCGGGACUGAGGUUCCUUUGAGAUGUCUUCUCGUUCACUCCCACCUUGCACCCCAGUUACCUGCUCGUCUGGUCCACACCCUCUGGGAUAGAGAUGUUCCGAGCUCGCGGCAGAGUGGAGCAGCAGCCUCUCGGCCUACCGUCUCUGCAGGGCACCCAGGACCGGGGCCUCUCUCCAGGCCCUGCACCGGCCUGCUGGUUCUGGUCCAUUUGCCUGGGACCCUAGGCUCCUUGUGUGGCCCUCACUCCUUGUAUGACCUUGCUCAGUUUGCAAACCCAGUUCUGAGCCAUGGUUUUUUAGUCAACGUUUGGCGAGCCCUCUGCUGUGGCUCCAGACCCUGGUCCUUCCCAGGUCAGGCCCUCUCUGGAGGAUUUUACUUCAAAAGAGAUCAACUUGAGAUUGGGGUGUGAGUUGUUUAGGUGGUGGUGAGUGCUGCAUAUGGGGAUCUAAUUGGAAAAGCGGGUGUUCAUUCUAGAAGUGUGGAUGAAGGGGCUACCUAUUGAGAUACGCAUUCUUCCUCCUUUCUGAGCUCCCAGAAUUUCCCCAGAUUUCUUUCCAGCACUCCUCUGGUAUUAAAAUGCAUUGGCUAGUUAUGUAGGCAUAUUGUGAAGAAUCGUGCCGUUCGAUCCUCACAGCAAGCUCUGAGCUGGGCGGAGUUACUGUCUGUACUUUAUAGGCACAGAAACCAAGUUUCUCCCAAAGCUCCCAAGUGGCAGAGUGGUCUGCAACGGAGCCCUUCGGAGCCUGUGGUCAAAUCGCCGUGCUACUCAGGCGGAGUGUUCACCAAAAGGGCGGUGGGAAAGCAGCAGGAAGAGUCUACAGAGGGGCACAGUCGGUUGGCUGUGCGACUCCUGAUUUCGGCCCAGGUCAUGAUCUCACGGUUUGCAAGAUGGAGUCCCGGGUCCGGCUCUGCGUUGGCAGCUUGGAGCCUGCUUGGGAUUCUCUCUCUGCCUCCCUCUCUCUUUCUCUUCCUCUCUCUACCCCUUUCCUGCUCCCCCUGGUGCACAGCCUUUUCUCACACAUUCUCUCUCAAAAAUAAAUAAACUGGGGGAAAAAAAGAGCCCGUUUAUAGAAAAGAGGCGACAAGGGAGGAUCUGGGAGGAGAGGAAGCAGGCUUACGGGGGCUGUCGGGGCGGGGGAGGAGGUUGGGUCUGUGGUUGCCAAUCCGGGAUGGUUUUUAUUCAUUUGUCCAAGGAGGGCGUCUCACUGUGUCUUUGCUGCAGGUGCAGUACAGGGUUCUGCCCUGGGUCACGUUGGCCACGUGCAGCCCCAGCUCCGUGUUAUCGACCCGUGUCACCUGGUAAUCUGCUCCAGGAUGGGAUACGACCUCCUUAUCCCCGGUAUUCCGCAGGGUGGCCAGCAGCUGUAGUUGUCCCUGGAGAUCCUGUUGGUACCAGCUCAUCCAGGGGUACUGGGAAUCCCUCAGGAUGCACUGCAGGGUUUUAGCUUGUCCACGAGGUACCAGGACCCACCUGGGCCUUUGCUCCACCAAGCUUGCUGAAGCAUCUGAAAUACACAGUCAGGCCAGGCUAAAGGUACUGAGGGUAGCGAUACCCGCCUCCCCUCCCCCAAAUCAGCUGCCACAAAAUCUCAGAGGGGGGCCCAUGAGCAAUGGCAAUUGGAGACGGAAGGGAUGCUUCCUCGGGGGUCGGAGGUGGGAGGGUGCUAUGGCUGGGAGAAUCUUAGAAAGCCUGGGAUGAGGGAACAAAACUUUCUGUGCCUACUGGUCCCUCUUUCCCUCCCUCAGCCCAUGGAGUGGCUUUCUCGGCCUGGCAUCUGACCUGUUGUCACGGUGGCCAUGAGCACCCAGCCCCACAGAAUGGGAAAUGGUACCAUUGCCUGGGCCCCACGGGCUUUCUCCAGCUCGGCAGCGGGACGGGCCCAGUCAGGCAGGAGAGCAGGGUCCCGGUCCAUAAGGUGGCAAUCAGUAGCUGACACUCUGGGCCUGAAACUCAAAAGGGAGUGGCUUCUCCAGGAAACUCAAUAUUCUGUCUCAUUUUCUCACUGCGGUUCAGACCCCACGGUUUCCUGUUUCCUGCACGCCAACAGCCCUCACAUGGGCGCGCACACGCUCCCCACAUUCACUGAGUGCCUUGGUGAGGGCACUUAGUUUAGUCCUGCACCCUCUCAGAAUCUCUGGGAUUCUGGGACACAGACGACAGUGGUUCUGAAUCUGUGCCUCAGGUCUUCCCAAGGGAUUAAAACAUCUCAAUGCAACCAAGCAGGCUGGUGGAUUCAGCGAAGACCUCUCUCCCCCACGUGCAAGAGGCCACACGGGUCAGUACACAGUGGCCGCUCGUUUCUAAUCACACGUGUUCUCCUCUGUAAGGGUAACUACAAAUUAAACAUAAGAGGCUUCAUUUUCCCUGUUGAAAAUAAGGAAAGACACUUAACUCCUGUCCAUUCCCCCAGAGCAUUUACUUUAGAAAACUUGUAAUUUUAAGUUCUUUCUCUGUUUCUUUGAAAUGUGUGUAAAUCACCCAGGAAUGUUUUUCGCAAGGUCCCGCCAUCCUCUCUUUGAAACACAAGCAUCAGGAUGAGCCUAACUAAAUUUAGAGGAGAUGCCUCCCGUCAAGCUGCAAAACGAUUCCCUGGCCUAAAGAUAUGGCAAGUUACUUUGCCUUUGGGUAAAGCAAAUCAGCAAACCCAGAUGGACACCCCCAGUCACCAAGUGACUGUAAGAUGAAUUGUGGGUUAACAAAAGUCCUGUCCCGGCCUCUUAUUUGAGGUCUGGCUAUAGUUUAUCUCGAGAACAUUUAUGUAAAGGGUUGUAUCCGAUUGCCUAUAUAAAAGGCCGGGAUUUCUGUCUGUCUUUGCAACCCCUUAACAAAAUGCCUGGGAUGUGUAUCACAUCGGUUUAAUGCUUAUUCAGUAAUAAGACUGCUUUCUUUCUCUCCUACUUUUGGGGAGAGGUUUUUCUGAAUCGGGAGGAGCUUUGAUUUUCAGUGACAUCUCCCUGACAACUCACAGCCCCGGCCCUACCUAGCAGGUGGCCUUGGGAGUGUUUCUCCCUCUGUAAGAUGGAGAUAAUUAUGAAGGUGACUUUAUAGGAGUAAAUAGAUUAAUACAUGAAAAAUUCUUGGAAUAGAGUUUGGCACAGACUGAGCACUUAGAGUUGACUCCUGUCACCGCCAUGGUCAACUACCAAUUCAAUUCCAAUUUCACAGAAUUAAUAGCAGCGUUUACGUCUCCUUCUCUCUCAGUCAUCAGCUGAGAUUAAGAUCACAAGAUCUUGUAACUUUUCAACAGUGGGAAGAGGCCUUGUUUUUUCAGAAAGUUUGGAAAUCAGCGAUCUGGGAAAUCAGAUGUAAAGGCCCAUAGCUACCUUCUCUUCCCCCUCAGAAUUUUAUGGACAAAAGUAAGGGGACACGUAGGGAUCUAGCAACUGAACUUUACAAUUUCAAGACCUGGGACUGCACCAUAUUCACGUCGGUGUUCCCAGUGAGGUGUCUGCGCUGUCACAGACACUUGAUGAAUGAAGAAGACAGCUGGAGCACGGUAGGACCGCAGACCCACCACCCGGGAGACUGCACGUCAGGGAACAGCUGUGGCCUGGUGUCCUGGGGCUUUGCGCCUCCCAGAUUCACUAAUUUUGCUAAUGUGCUCAGGUGUAAAUACUUACAACAAUAUGGUUCCCAUGAUUCUGGCAAAGGAUAACGGUUACUGAUGCCAUGUGGUGACAGCAUAAUACAGUUUAUAAUUCAGUUGGCGCGAUGACUUCAAAAUUGUGUGGUUGUUCAUUUAAAAAAAAACCCACAUUUUCAUUAUGUACAAUUUUGUGUAUAAAACAAGUUCAUUAAUAUUUUCUAUAUCUGACUAUUUCAAAUUUGCAUCAUCUAAUCGUAAAGAAAAUAUCAAUCGCCCUGCAUUCUCAGUAACAUGUGCUGGUCUCCUUUUGCCUUUCGCUGUCCUGCCUGUUCCCAACCUCAUCUCUCCAGGGACGGAGAGGGAUGAAGCUCUGGGAAGAAUGCCCAAAUCGCACAUCUUGAAUACCAGAAAUAUGUACGUGCCAGGACAGAGACGUCCUCACUUAGCAAGC
Molecule: long non-coding RNA, 4286 nt
Organism: Felis catus (domestic cat)
Lineage: Eukaryota; Metazoa; Chordata; Mammalia; Carnivora; Felidae
Exons: 2
Source: RefSeq, a predicted model, not a curated record